GCUGGGCGUGGUGGCGGGCACCUGUAACCCCAGCUACUCAGGAGGCUGAGGCAGGAGAAUCGCUUGAACCCAGGAGGCAGAGGUUGCAGUGAGCCAAGAUCGCGCCACUGCACUCUAGCCUGGGUGACAGAGCGAGACUCUGUCUCAA
This 148-nucleotide non-coding RNA is filed under the name Homo sapiens (human). Lineage: Eukaryota; Metazoa; Chordata; Mammalia; Primates; Hominidae. The record is from Rfam by way of RNAcentral.